AGAUAUAUUUAACUGUAGAAAGAUGAAAAUCAUCUUUGAAAUUCAUUUGGAUAUUGCACUUUGCAAAGUGUCUUAAUUUUAUUUCCUUUUUGCUUUUCAGAACUGUAACCAUACAUGUAAUCUUUCUCUUCAAGAGGAAAAAUAGUAUUUCAUUUUAUUGAAAUGUAACUAAACAUAUAUAUAAUUACUAAAUAUUAAGUAUUAUAUAUAAAAUACUAAAUCUCAUGAGCCAAUUGUUGUCUUUAUGUCCAUUAUACACUAUUUAAAUACGUAAAGGGUGAGUGUCAGGGGGAUGUAGCCAGGCUCUUCUCAGUGACAUCCAAUGAUAGGACAAGGGGCAAUGGGUGCAAGCUGGAACAUAGGAGGUUCCGCUUAAAUAUGAGACAAAACUUUUUUUUACGGAGAGGGUGACAGAACACUGGACCAGGCUGCCCAGGGGAGUUGUGGAGUCUCCUCUGGAGACAUUCAAAACCCACUUGGAUGCGAUCCUGUGUGAUGUGAUCUAGGUGUUCCUGCUCGGGCAGGGGGAUUGGACUAGGUGAUCUUUCAAGGUCUCUUCCAAUCCCUAACAUUCUGUGAUUCUGUGAUUUAUUACUGCAUGUCGUUCUUUUUUUCUCUGCAUUUCAGUAAGCUGCUGGUGCUUUUCACUGUCCGUGAAAACUUUCCUGACAACACCCAAAUCUUCUUUUGCUUGUGAGAAAUGUUUUGCUUUGGACCUUCCAAAACAAGCCUGAAGGCAUUUUGGUGGUACAGACCAUAUGGCAAAAUUGCUAAAUUAUUAAAUCUACAGACUGGUAGACAAGCAAUGCUUUGAAUUUAUCCACCAACAAAGAAUUGCCAAGCUGUAUGAGGCAUUCAGUUUGUGGAUGUGAACUGGAUUGGAAACAUGUAUGAGAAGGAAAAGGCGCGCGUAAAGACGGGCCUCCAGACAGUAUGCAAGUACAGACAAAAGGAACAGGAACAGUAUAAACCUGAGACCUGGUACAUAGAGACAUCCUCCGAGAGAUCCUUGAGACAGAUGCCUUGAGAACCAUUUUGAGAACCAACCUUGAAGAAGCAUUUGAAUUGGAAAAAGCUGAAAACGAGUUCUUCGAUGAACACCCAUCACAAUGUCAUAACUUGUAGGUAAAAAAGCAAACAAACAAAUCCAUCAUUAACUUUGGCAGAGAGAAUUCUCAACAUUGACUAUUCAUUUCUGUAAUUAAAAUGCAAUUUUAAGCCAAUCGGUGGUAUCAGUUGAAGUUCAUGGUUUAUGGUGCCAGUGACUGAUAAAAAUAAGACUGCUUUCCUUUUUGUGACAUGCCCUCUGACUCAUAGGUAGGCAGCUAGUGGCUCUUGGUUACGCAAGUGUAACUUUGCAAAGUUCAGUGAAGUUAGUCCAGAUUUCCAUGAGUAAAAAUGCAUUUGUAUGGCCAACUGACUCAGCUGAUAUCUUUUUACUCUAGUGUAAGAUUAUCACCUUAUCUUAAUCUUACAUCAGAGACAGGAUUUUCUAAGAGUUCUUUAUAAACUGUAGAGUCAUGUAACAGAGUAAUUAAUCAGGUGUUCAGACAGCAGCUGUAACUUCCAUUUGCAGUAGAGAUCUGACAUCUCUUUACACUAGUUUUAGUCUAAUAAAAAUCUGUGGUAGAGAAUCA
This is a long non-coding RNA of Anser cygnoides (Swan goose), 1637 nucleotides long. The record is from Ensembl. NCBI's taxonomy places the organism in Eukaryota, Metazoa, Chordata, Aves, Anseriformes, Anatidae.